UGUUCGGUCUUCGUGAACCCCACUCGGUCCAUCGAGGAGUGGAAGAAAGCUUCUCCGUCGCGAGACGGGCAUGGCGUCCGCCUUCGAGUGGGAUCGGCUCCCCCACGACCUCCAACGCUCUAUCCUUCUCCGCCUUCCCAUCUCCACGCUCCUACUCUGCAAGUCCCUCUCGCGAUCCUUCCUCGACACCAUCCGCUCCCCCACGUUCCUCGACGCCUACUCCUCCCUCCGCCGCGGGCGUCGCUUCCGCCACCGCGACGACCUGUUCCUCCUCCUCUUCGCCGACUGCAGUCGCCACGGCCUGGCCGCUGCUUACCUCCCCUCCCGCGCCUGCUGGCUUCCCCUCCCCCUCCCCCCUUUGCUUAACCACAUCCACGCCUCCGACGGCAGCCUCGUCGUCGCCGCCACCGGGAAGAACUCUGGCGAAGAUGUCGUCUGCGAUCUCUUUUCCCGUACCGUAAUCCCGAUCCUUCCCCGGAUGCCCCAUUCCUACAUCCUCGCUCUGAUUGCCGACGAGGCCUCGUCCGAUUUCAGGAUCGUGGCCGUCGGCAGCCAGAAGCCCGUUGGGAACGCCCUUAAUGCCGUCUACGUUUCCUCCCAGGUUUACGAUUCCCGUUCUGGCCGAUGGCAGCCCAAGGGGCAGCUGCCGGGGCACUACGCCAUGCUCGGCAAUGCGGUUUUCCUGGAUGGCUUGUUGUUCGUGCUCGGCCGCCUCCCUGAUCAUCUACUCACAUUCGAUCUGGACAGCGGGGAAUGGAGCGUCGUAGAUGUUGCUCUGCCGCCUCCUGUGUUUUGCUUGCAUUUGUUGGUAUUCGAGGGGAGACUGUUCUUGGUUGGAGGUCUGGAAGAGGACGUGGUAAUUGCGAGAAUUGGAAUUUGGGAGCUCGAUUUAACUAAAUCGGAGAAGGAAUGGCGACUCUUCUGCUUUAUGCCUGAUGAGUAUUUUCAGGAAUUCAGCGUCAAUGAGCUUGUUCAUUUUCAGACCAUCGACCGAUUUGGGAUUGUUUGUUUUUGCAACACCAGAGAGUCUGUUGUUUUAGUGUGUGAUCUAUCAUCGAAAACAUGGUGGUGGCCGCCUACAUUUGGGGUGAUUCCUAAGCGCAGAAGAUCUUGGCUCGGGCAUGCUUUGGAUCUACCUAUGGGAUUGCUGAAGUGAUUAAUAGAAGGUUCAACUCUACAGUACGACCGCUCACCGCGCUGGGCAAAAUAGCCCCAAAAUGGCUCCGUUUUUACGUGUCACGGCCUAUUUUCUAUAAACCGUUGCUGCACGCGAAAUGUCAGCCAUCUCAGCACCUUGGAACCACUCGGGUGGCACCAUGGGGGAUGGGGCUUCGGUAUAGUGUCGGGCGUUGAACAAUCUUUACAAGUUCGCAUGUUAACUUGACGAGAACUUGCCUUCGGCCUCGGCACCCGGUCCUUCGGGAAUUGAGUAAGGUUGCAAAUUGGCUGACCCUUUGCAGACGCAUAUCGCAAGGGUGCUUCACGACUUAGGCAACUCAAACUAAGUCUAUGAUUUUGUCGCAAGGAUGCCUCACGACUUAGGCAAUUCCAGCUAAGUUUGUGACACCAAGCUGUAAUUAUCAUAAAGAUUUCAGAAUUGUUUUUCUUCUAUAGCAAACCCUUUGAGUGGUAUGAGUUAAACUAGCUACUAAGCUAUUCUGCUUGUUGCCUGACUGAGAUGUGUUUAAAAGAAUAUCCUCAAUAAAGAUUAUAUGUUAUUGCUCUCAACUGCAGCUUUUAUUUGCAAGUAAAACUUCUCUUCGAGUUUCCAAAGUAGUAUUAAUAAUUUAAAAUUUCCAUUAUUUCCUAUGAAAAAUGACAUUUCUGGACUGCUCAUUGUUCUCUUUCUCUAUAUUGUUUCCCUGCUAUCUUCCUGAAGUUUAAAUUUAGUCUCUGCUGUUGUAGGAUCAAUGUAACAAGAAAUGUAGGAUCACAUUUAGUAUACAUAAAGGUUUCAUAAGUUGAACAUUCCAAGUCUUUGGAAAGUUUGACUUAUUUAUAUUUAGGUAAUUACAAGUCAUAUUUCCAAUUUUCCAUGCGAAGUGCCACAACUUCAUUGCAUCAACUUAGCUAAAUAAAAAACAUUAAAAAAUCUUCAAGAGCAAUAUUUGUACCUUGACAUUAAAGAGGUUAAGUGUCUCUCGUUUUAGCCUUACCAGCAGCCUUAAGUCUAAUGUUCUUGGAACAUGAAAUUGAACUUGUAACGCUGCCUGCGAGAAUAUUUCCAUAUUGAAUUUUCAUGUAAUGCAGUUCUUCCUUUUUUUAUUUUUGGGUCAGAACAUCUUCGAUGCAUUGCAGGAUAUCUAGGGGUUAAAGUUGUUUCUAUUUGUUUUCCUCUCGUAUUUGUUAGUUUUCUUUCAGUAACUAUGCGUAAGUGCAACUAGAACCAGAGCCUGGAAAUGUCAUGUGUUUAGAAAUUAAUUCCCAUGAGAUCAGUCCAUUCAGGUUUCCUAGUUCGUUUCAUAACUAAAGCAUCAAAUUCACAUGCCAAGUAGAAUUUUUGCUAAAUAUCAUUUUAGAUAUGGCUUGAGCAGGUUAAUCCUUGUUGAUAUGCAUUUAAAGUGCUUAUUGUCUGAUCUGACGUUAUUCAUGGGAUCAUUCCCUAAUCAUUUUUUUUCGUUCUCAUCAUUUUAGUCUACUUGUGCUCCAAGGCCAUGUUCCAUUUUGUACAUUACCUGGGUCCAUUCUCUCAUUCAUUAUUAAUAAAACUGUAUUUGCUUUUUGACUUAAUCACUGCUUUCAUUAUUAUUUUAUUUGCAGCCCCAAAAGUUUAGCCAUCCGAUUUACAUGUUUUCAUGUCACAUAUAUUUCAGGGUACAUAUGGUCAGAAUUCAAGCAUUUUUCUUUCUGCCAUUGAGGUGUGCUGACAAUGCUCAAAGUUGGUGCAGAGGAACAGAGUGGAAUUUGUAGAGGGGAUGGUGAAAUGUUCACUUGCUGCAAUCACCAUAUGAAAAGCAACUUGUGGCUUGAUUUCCAGCAACUAAAUGACAUUUAUUUCCACAAAACCGAGGAAUAUUCUUACAUAGCAAUGAACAAGUUUAGUGUGAUACUAAUUCAGAUCCAGAUUGAGUUUUAUAUAUGGUACCUACUCUCUGGGUUCAUUUUCAGA
This is an RNA transcript of Musa acuminata AAA Group (dessert banana), 3109 nucleotides long. It is a transcript of the gene named F-box/kelch-repeat protein At5g15710, with no coding region annotated. The transcript has 3 exons. The record is from RefSeq and is a predicted model, not a curated record. Lineage: Eukaryota; Viridiplantae; Streptophyta; Magnoliopsida; Zingiberales; Musaceae.